RNAcentral lists this long non-coding RNA (4894 nucleotides) under Canis lupus familiaris (dog). RNAcentral's name for it is "lncRNA (ENSCAFG00000050583.1)". The record is from RNAcentral. Lineage: Eukaryota; Metazoa; Chordata; Mammalia; Carnivora; Canidae.
AAAAAAAAAACCGCAAAGUUUAUGCCUAGAGAGAAAUUAGAAUUCUUUCAUACUUUUUAUAGGACCAAAUUUCCUUGAGUCUAUGGCAUUGUUUUACCUUUGCCAUACAACUAUUAUUUAUGGGGUUAGUAAAUUAAAAGUGCUGACAUUUCUGUUUACGAUUUGAGGUUUUUUUUUUUUUAAAUUGAUAUUUGUCCCCAUGAAGGCCAAUAGUCCAUCAAAAUUACCAAAAGAAAUUUGAAGAAGAUGAGUUCAUAGUAUUUGUUUUGGUUUAAAGAGUAUUGUUGCCACAGAUGAAUAACAUUUUGAUGUAUUAAGAAAGGGAUCAACAGUUAAAUAAGCCACCAAUUUCACUGAGUAGGAAAGUAUUUAAAUCCUCCACCUAUCUAUGUGAUACUUUUUGCUUAAAUUUUCGAUUUAUGUGUGUAAUUCUAGAGAAGAUAAGACUUCAUUAUACUGAGUGCAACAAGAAUAUUGGAAGAAAAAAUGUUAUCUGCUGUGACCUUGAGAGGUUAGGCUUUUGUAAUAUAACAAAUACAUUGUCUAGACUGCAGAGGUACGACUCAGGCUUUUGAAUGAACAUGGUUUCAAAUGAUUUGUCUGUAUUGGGUCAGUCAUUUCAAUCAGGAAUCACCAACUCUAUAUAUUCAGAAGAUUAGCUGCCUGUAACAUGUCACAUUUUUCUUUUUUUUUUCCUUUUGAUUUUUAUUGUUUCAUAGGUAGGUUAACCUUUGACCAUCAUUGGCUUUUAAAAAUUAUACUUUACAGUUUUGAUCUAUUUUUACCAGAUAGUAACUGUAGUACUGUGGUGGUAAAAUCAUAUAGAUACAUGUGUUGGGGAGUAUGUAUAAAAUUUUGAUGUGAAAAGUACCAUAGCUUCACUCAUUGUUUUGAAGGGAAAUUUUCUAAGAGCCAUCUGUUUGAAUAUGAUCCUGAUAUAUCCCAAAGAGGUUAUGAAUUGAGUAAUUAAUCUAGUUUUCAUUAUUCAUUCCUUUGUUUGUUCAUCCAUUAAGUGAGCAUUAUUUGACUAACAAAGCACUACUAAGGGGCGAUCACAAAUAUAAGAAAUGGAGCCCAGGACGUAUGCUUCUGGCGGUAUGACAGAAAAGAUGCUUAGAAAGACCCUCCCACUACAGAAUAAAAAUCUUAGGUCAAUUGCAACAAAGAUUUUACUAAGUUCCUCAAAUUUUAUGAAAGGAAUUCUCCGAUGAGCUGGACACACUCAUGACAACAAUAAUUAGCUAAAACAAAACAAAACAAAAGUUAAGUUUAGAAACCCAGUUUACUUUGGAGCAUUCAUGCUUGUAAGUGCUGACUGAAAUUGGAAACUAACAAGGGGGGCAGUUGGUUGUCUCACUAAAAUGCUGGAAGUGAAACUGAGACUCUUGUAUUUGAUUCAGACCCUGAAGGAAGGCUAAAGGGAUCUCACAUCAGCAGCAAACUCUGGCUGUCAGCAUGAGCAGUUCAAAUCCUAUCUAGAGGAAAUCUUCAUUUUUGGCUCUUAGGAAUCAUACACAUUAAAUUCAACUAAAUGUGAGCCUAUAACAAAAAUCAAAGUAAUAAACAUAUGAGAUAUAAACCGCUACCAAGUGAGCAUCUGCAGAAAUAAUAAACAUAUCUAGAUUUCCAAGGACUUAAACUAAAAAUAUUAAAUAUAGAAUAUAAAAUAGUAUAUAUGAAAUGGUUAAAGAAAUAACAGCUGACACAAAAAUAAGCAUGGAAUGAGAAAUUACUGUAAAUAAUUAGAUAUGGAAAAGAUUUAAAUAGAACUCUCAGAAAUCAUCAUCACUGAAAUUAAAAACUCUAUUGAUCACUACACACCUAUUAGAACAGCAGAAAUUUAAAAAAUAGUGAUGAUACUAAAUGCUUACAAGGAUGGAGAGGCACUGUGUUUCUCAUACAUUUCUGGUGAGAGUUUAAAAUGAUACAGGGGCUCUGGAAAAUUGUUCAUCAUCUUAUGAAAUUAAAUAUGCAAUUGUCAUUUGACCCAGAAAUCACAUUCUUGGACAUUUAUCCCAGAGAAAUGGAAACUUAUGUUCACACAAAUAACUGCAUACAAAUGUUCAGAGAAGUUUCACUGGAAACAACCCAAGUACUUCAGUAGGUGAGUGGUAGAAUGGGUUUUAGUACAUGCACACAAAGAAACUGUCCAACAGGUGUUCUAAAAGAUACUAUGGAAGGAGAAAAAUGAUUCAGUAAAGACACCAGAGUUAAAGAAAGCGAAUAGAGAAAUUGGUAAGUACGUAAGUAAAUAUAACAUGCAUUAUAAGCCAAAAGGGGCUGAUCGAUCAGUGUUAAAGUGUUUUUAAAGUACUUACAUCACUUGGAGUCAGAGCAGUUAACAUAUUGAUUGACUUUAGACGUUAAAAAGUCCGUAUGAUAAACCCUCAGGAUUAUGCACUGUCUUGAUCUGCUUGGUACCAUAACAAAAUACCACAAACUACAUUCUUUAAACAACAGACGUUUGUUUUCUCACAGUCCUGGAGGCUACACAUCCAUGAUCAGCAUGCCAACAUGGUAAUUUUCUGACAAAGGGUUGCUUUCUGGCUUACAGAUAACUGCCUUAUUGCUGUGUCCUCACAUGGUGGAGAGAGAAAGAGUAAGCUCUCCAAUGUGUCUUUUUAUAAUGACACUAGUUCCAUCAUGAAGGAUUAAAAAAAAAAAAAACUUCCAUGGAUGAGAUAAAAACAACUAAAAUAAUUUUGUAAACUGAAAAACUAAAAGACUGGAAGAAAAUAAACAAAAAAGAAGAUAAAGAAUAUGAAAGUAAUGUUAAAAGACUUGGAUGAUGGAUGAAUUGGUCUAACAUAAGUCUAACUGGUGGCCCAGACAAGUGACACCCUUAUGACUUUAUGACCUCAUCUAACCCUGCUUCCCAAAAGCCCCAUCUCCAAAUACAAUCACAUUGGAGGUUAGGACUUCAACAUAUGAUUUAUGGAGGGAACAUAAAAAUUCAGUCCAUAACACCUGCUAAAAGAAUAGAAUAAGGAGAGAAAAUGAUUCACAUCAUAAGGAUGAAUCAGGAAAUACAAAACACUGAAAAAAUACAAAAUAAAGAAGUAUCAAUAGCACAGUGUUUCUUUAAUCUUUAAGUUGUCCUUGGGAAGCAUUUUUAAUCAUCAAAGUAUUGCUUAUGUGAGUGACAGAAAACAAAUUGAGAAAGUAGUAACAUCACUUUAGGGUAAAGCGAAAAGAUAGCUUGGAGACUAGAGCCUGUAGAAUGGGUUGAAUUUGAAUAGGAUGGGCAUUAUAUGAACUGUCCAGAGCUGAUUCUUGGCAUCUGAUGAACUGGCCUGCAUUAGUCUUCUCUUACUGCCAUAUAAAAUCACCACAAACUUGGCAGCUUAAGCAACACGAAUCUAUUAUCUUGUAGUUUCAGAGAUCAGAAGUCACUGGGCUAAAAUCAAGCUAUCAGUAGGGCUGUGUUAUAUUCUAAAGGCUCAAGGGGAAGAAUUCAUGUCCUGCUUUUUAGUGUUGACAAUUCAGUUCCUUGCAGCUUUUUGGGCCCAUGUUCCAUUAUCCUGCUGGCUAUAAAGUGAGAACCACUCCUGCCUUCCAGGAGCCGCUGCACUGUUGGGCUCUUGGCCUUUUCUUCCAACAACAAAGGCAGAUGUUUGAGUCCUUUCAAAUCAUGUUUCUCUGACAGGACCAGGAAAGCUUCUGUAAUUGUAACACUUCAUGUUAUUAGACUAGACCCAUCUGGAUAAUCUGGGAUACUUUCCCUAUCUGAAGAUUCCUCACCUUAAUCACAUCUACAAAGACUCUUUUCCAACAUAACAUAUUUUUGAGGACUUAGUAUGCAGACCUCCUUGGGAGCUACUCUUCCAUCUACCACAGAAAGAUCUGGAAGAAACAGGAGGUCUAAUUUAAAGGGCAUAGGAUAAUGAAGAACUCCAAAAAAGGCAAGAUCGUGAUACAUUUUGGUAUUUGAAAAAAAGUUCACUGUAUUUGAAUCAGAUCAUUGGUAUUAAGAAUUUCAUUUUUUUCAUAAGGGUAACAGGAAGUCUCUGACAUACUUGAAUGCAUCAAGAGCAAGACCAAAUCAGAGUCCCAUGUUAUAGCUCUUUGCUCGUCACCUAGAGAAUGGAUUGAGAGGGAGAAAUCCAAAGGACAGAAUUAAGAAAUCUGAUUUUUGAAGACUUAGAGUAAAUUAAACUAGAGAGAGGACCAUAUGAAGAGGGAAAAAGUGUAACAGAAUAAAAUUCAGGAGUCUGAAUCUGAAAACUUGGGUUGCAUUAGUGCUUGUUUUGCAGUGAGGUGCUGCUUGUUACAUACUCAGGAAUUCUGUGAGCUUAUUUUUAAACUGUUGACAAUUUGAAAGCAACUCUGUUAGGAGAAUUUACACCAGGAAAUUUUCUAACACUCUGUCAAUUUGGCAUUCUCUCUCUCUCUCUCUCCUCCCUCCCUCCCUCCCUCCCUCCCUCCCUCCCUCCCUCCCAGAGACAGAUUCUUAGCAUGCCAAUAAUAGAGUGAUAUUGAAAAAAAGCCUUAUCUAUUAAGCAGGAAAACUAAUAUUGGAUCAAGAUGCAAAUAAGAUGGUGUGCAUGAGGAAGCAAGAUCAACAGAAUUGCUAAACUGUUUUGAUGCUUUGGCAGUCAGAGAAAAGUAGUAUUACUGUUAGGAUCCUAUGAACAGAACUUGGGUAAAAUUUUAAGUCACGGAUAAUUUUCAGUAGCUCACCCAUGUUCUUAUUACUAGACUGUGAUCCAUUUGGAUAAUUACAAACAGAAAUAUAAAUGCCCAUGUAAAAGAAUGUGGUUCCUCACAUGGAAACAUAUACAUAUGUAUACAUGAGCACACACACACAGAGUUAAGGCAACUCGCAAACUUCUCUUGAUCUUCCAACUUUCUAUUGACUUAAAAGACUAGAAAAGAGAGACACAUUAAAAUUAAA